Molecule: ribosomal RNA, 245 nt
Filed under: uncultured bacterium
Lineage: Bacteria
Description: partial 16S ribosomal RNA
Rfam family: Bacterial small subunit ribosomal RNA
Source: RNAcentral
UACGUAGGAUGCUAGCGUUGUCCGGAUUUACUGGGUGUAAAGGGAGCGCAGGCGGGAUGAUAAGUCGGUGGUGAAAUUUUCGGGCUUAACCCGAACACUGCCAUCGAUACUGUUGUUCUUGAGUACAGAAGAGGUUGAUGGAAUUCUAGGUGUAGCGGUGAAAUGCGUAGAUAUCUAGAAGAACACCGAUGGCGAAGGCAGUCAACUGGUCUGUUACUGACGCUCAUGCUCGAAAGCGUGGGGAU